GCCUGGCUGGCUCAGUAGGUAGAGCAUGCAACUCUUGAUUCCAGGGUUGUAAGUUCCAGCCCCAUGUUGGGCG
This 73-nucleotide transfer RNA is filed under the name Canis lupus familiaris (dog). It matches the Rfam family "tRNA". Rfam says of the family: Transfer RNA (tRNA) molecules are approximately 80 nucleotides in length. Their secondary structure includes four short double-helical elements and three loops (D, anti-codon, and T loops). Further hydrogen bonds mediate the characteristic L-shaped molecular structure. tRNAs have two regions of fundamental functional importance: the anti-codon, which is responsible for specific mRNA codon recognition, and the 3' end, to which the tRNAs corresponding amino acid is attached (by aminoacyl-tRNA synthetases). tRNAs cope with the degeneracy of the genetic code in two manners: having more than one tRNA (with a specific anti-codon) for a particular amino acid; and 'wobble' base-pairing, i.e. permitting non-standard base-pairing at the 3rd anti-codon position. The record is from Rfam by way of RNAcentral. RNAcentral also lists the same sequence under 2 other names. Lineage: Eukaryota; Metazoa; Chordata; Mammalia; Carnivora; Canidae.